Molecule: small nucleolar RNA, 140 nt
Organism: Apodemus sylvaticus (European woodmouse)
Lineage: Eukaryota; Metazoa; Chordata; Mammalia; Rodentia; Muridae
Product: small nucleolar RNA SNORA48
Exons: 1
Source: RefSeq, a predicted model, not a curated record
UCCCUUUGCAAUGGGCAAAGUGAUACCUUGUUGGUGGUAUUUUUAUAUCAUUCAUAGGCAGAGAAAAUGGCAGUCCCUUAUUCAUCCUAGCUUGAUGCCUGGGUUGGUGAUUAAGGCUGUUUUAUGUUUAGGACACAUAA